RNAcentral lists this ribosomal RNA (326 nucleotides) under uncultured eukaryote. RNAcentral describes it as "partial 18S ribosomal RNA". It matches the Rfam family "Eukaryotic small subunit ribosomal RNA", at positions 1470 to 1796 of the family's 1831-position model. The record is from RNAcentral.
CCCUUAGAUGUUCUGGGCUGCACGCGCGCUACACUGAUGCAUGCAACGAGUUUUCGACCUUGCCUGAAAAGGUUGGGUAAUCUGUUUAACAUGUGUCGUGAUGGGGAUAGACCAUUGCAAUUAUUGAUCUUCAACGAGGAAUUCCUAGUAAGCGCGAGUCAUCAGCUCGUGCUGAUUAUGUCCCUGCCCUUUGUACACACCGCCCGUCGCUCCUACCGAUUGAGUGAUCCGGUGGAUGAUUCGGACCAGCGUGCUGCUCAGAUCCUGCGCAGUGUGCUGGGAAGUCUAGUGAACCUUAUCACUUAGAGGAAGGAGAAGUCGUAACA